This 253-nucleotide ribosomal RNA is filed under the name uncultured bacterium. RNAcentral's name for it is "partial 16S ribosomal RNA". It matches the Rfam family "Bacterial small subunit ribosomal RNA", at positions 524 to 776 of the family's 1533-position model. The record is from RNAcentral.
UACAGAGGGUGCGAGCGUUAAUCGGAAUUACUGGGCGUAAAGCGCACGUAGUCGGCUUUGCAAGUCGGUUGUGAGAUCCCCGGGCUCAACCUGGGAACUGCAUCCGAGACUGCAUUGCUAGAGUAUGGGAGAGGAAAGCGGAAUUUCUGGUGUAGCAGUGAAAUGCGUAGAUAUCAGAAGGAACAUCAGUGGCGAAGGCGGCUUUCUGGACCAAUACUGACGAUCAGGUGCGAAAGCGUGGGGAGCAAACAGG